GCAGACGGCGGAGAGCAGAGAGGGAGCGCGCCUUGGCUCGCUGGCCUUGGCGGCGGCUCCUCAGGAGAGCUGGGGCGCCCACGAGAGGAUCCCUCACCCGGGUCUCUCCUCAGGGAUGACAUCAUCCGUCCACCUCCUUGUCUUCAAGGACCACCUCCUCUCCAUGCUGAGCUGCUGCCAAGGGGCCUGCUGCCCAUCUACACCUCACGAGGGCACUAGGAGCACGGUUUCCUGGAUCCCACCAACAUACAAAGCAGCCACUCACUGACCCCCAGGACCAGGAUGGCAAAGGAUGAAGAGGACCGGAACUGACCAGCCAGCUGUCCCUCUUACCUAAAGACUUAAACCAAUGCCCUAGUGAGGGGGCAUUGGGCAUUAAGCCCUGACCUUUGCUAUGCUCAUACUUUGACUCUAUGAGUACUUUCCUAUAAGUCUUUGCUUGUGUUCACCUGCUAGCAAACUGGAGUGUUUCCCUCCCCAAGGGGGUGUCAGUCUUUGUCGACUGACUCUGUCAUCACCCUUAUGAUGUCCUGAAUGGAAGGAUCCCUUUGGGAAAUUCUCAGGAGGGGGACCUGGGCCAAGGGCUUGGCCAGCAUCCUGCUGGCAACUCCAAGGCCCUGGGUGGGCUUCUGGAAUGAGCAUGCUACUGAAUCACCAAAGGCACGCCCGACCUCUCUGAAGAUCUUCCUAUCCUUUUCUGGGGGAAUGGGGUCGAUGAGAGCAACCUCCUAGGGUUGUUGUGAGAAUUAAAUGAGAUAAAAGAGGCCUCAGGCAGGAUCUGGCAUAGAGGAGGUGAUCAGCAAAUGUUUGUUGAAAAGGUUUGACAGGUCAGUCCCUUCCCACCCCUCUUGCUUGUCUUACUUGUCUUAUUUAUUCUCCAACAGCACUCCAGGCAGCCCUUGUCCACGGGCUCUCCUUGCAUCAGGUAGGGGCUUUGCAGAGACCAUCGACGGGCUGACUUGAGUAAGAACACGAAUUAUGCAUGUGGCCAUUUCCAGAGCACUUUCUAUGUGAUAUGAACAUGUGAUUUUUAUGUAAUAUGUGUAUGUAAACGAGGCAGCCUCAUUUCCAGGUGAGGAUGCAUUUGGUAGUGUUGAUUUUUGUAAUUUAAAGAAGCUGAAAGGGAGAGAGGACCCGUGAGGACUGAACUCUCUGUCCCAUGGGGUAGGGCUUACAUUUACAUUAAAGAAACAGAAACUUGCUGGGAGGUGUAAGUAUUUGGUCACAUUGCUGGCAACAGAAGGGGUUGGAGUUGGACCCAGGGUGCCACGCUAGCUGCCCUCACCCCUUCUUCCCCUCUGGCCCAGAGUUAUACUAAGAGUCCUUUUAUUUCAAACCAAAUGUUUGACAAUGGGACAGUCUGUUUGAAAUCCCAGCUGCCUGGGGUGGUCUUGGGGGUCUGGGUGGCCCCAGUGCUGGUACCAUGUGCUGGCUUCACCUUUUAAUAACAGUGUGACCUUAAACAAGUCGCUUAACUACUCUAAGUUUCAGUUUCUUUCAUGGUCUAAAUGGAGAUUAAAACACACACACACACACACACACACACACACACACACACACCCCCUCGUGUAUCUACCCCACAGGGCGCUUUUGAAGACCAAAUGCUGUAACUACUAUGAAAGUGCUUUGUAAAUUGCUGUGGAAAGUGUGAGCUACUCAAGCACCCGAGGCUGUCCCUCCUUGCUCACAUGUCCAGCCCAAUUCUCCCUUAGUGAGAACAGCACUCAGUAGGUGCUGUGUGUGUUUGUGUUCAAUUAAGAAAUUCCAGAAUAAAUAAAAAUGAAUUAAUUCAACAAACAUUUUCUGGGGCACCGACAAUCUGCCCAGUGCACCAGGCUAGGUAUCUGAUACAAAGAUAAUGAAAACAGUCUCUUGGAACCUAAUUGGGGUCCUCAUUUGACCAGGAAUUUCUUUCGUCCCGUUUUAAGCCAACCAGUUUUGUCCGGACAAGACAAAAACAACUUGGGCUGCUUUAGAGAAGCCCAGCUCAGUGUAGACAAUAGCUGCCCAGCCUCUGAAAGGGGCUGAUUGGAUUAUGUGGCAAAUGGAGGUGCAAGGAUGACUUGGACGGUGACAAAUGAAGUGGGCGGAGACCUGCUUUGAGUUAAUCCAGGCUAUUAGGAGGGGACCUUUUGUCUUCCAGAGACUGGCAGGAGCUUUUACCAGUGGUUUUUACAUCCUUAAUGUUCAGGACGAAUAAUUUAUGGUCAGUGAAAAUCCAGGCCCCAGUGAGAUUCGAGUGGGCUGUAAAAUCGAGAGUCCUGCUCCCAGUGAGUAAUGGUAGUGAAUGUUUCUGUCACUUUUUGCAACCGUCCAUUCAUUUGAUCCUCACAACUCCCUGUCCUGAGCCAGGACCGGCCACUGCCACUCCCAGGGAAACAGAGGCUGUCAAGAGGCUCCACAGAUUGGGCCCCACUGGAUCAUUGAACCCCUGUUCCCUGAGUUCUAGAGGAAGAAUUGUACCUGUCUCAGUCCCGGCCACCUCCAGAAGGCCUCCCUCUGCAUUUCUGACUUUGCUGUGCCGGCAGCCUGGAGCCUCCCAGGUCCCUGCUGUCAUCUUUUCUAGCCACUACAGUCUCUGUCUUUCCUUUCACAGCCAAGCUUCUUGAAAGGCCUGUCUACACUUGCUGUCUUCCUUCCUCACCUCCAAUUUCCUCUUCAACCCACUGCUUCCUGACUCGCUCUACUCCGUGGAAGCACGCUCACAAAGGUUCCCAGUGCCCCCGACAAGCCCCUGCUGGUGUCUCCAUCUCCUGCCAAGCAUCCUCCAGUGCCUCCUCCUGUGGGCCUGGCCUCAGGGCUAUGGACAGACUCCUGUCCCAUCCCAGAGACCCCUCGUGAUCGUGCCCUGGCACGUGGGCCGUGGCCCGGCUGGGUCGGCUGAAGAACUGCGGAUGGAAGCUGCGGAAGAGGCCCUGAUGGGGCCCACCAUCCCGGACCCAAGUCUUCUUCCUGGCGGGCCUCUCGUCUCCUUCCUGGUUUGGGCGGAAGCCAUCACCUGGAUGCCUACGUGGGAAGGGACCUCGAAUGUGGGACCCCAGCCCCUCUCCAGCUCGAAAUCGGCAGACUAGGAUGGAAGUGCCCUGUGAGCUGGGGGGCCCUUCAAAGGGCCAAGGAGAAAACGCAGGCCGAGGGACCAGCCUUCCAAAUGGGCUUCAAGCUCCAAUGACCUCCGCUCGCCCCCUCGAAAUGUCUGGAAAACAUAAUGGGCAGAUUUUCUGUCUUCAAAGUUUCCGGCUAAACCUCUUCAAGUUCUUUAUUGUUUGGGACUGAGACACUCAGCCAUGUUAAUGGGUAGUUUCUUUUGUAUUUGCCUUGAAAGGCCAAAAUAUUUUUAUAUUGCCACAGACAAAGCCACCUAUUUAAAAAUGAACUCCAUGUCCGUCGUUUCCCACCAGGAGACUAUGUACCAUGUGUGUGUCUCUAUGUAUUCUGGGGUCUUGAAACAGGUUUCUCAUGGGGAUGGUCAUUCACCACGGUCCAGAGGGGCAGAACAGGCGGCGCUUGCCUUGCCCAGGGGGCCUGGGGAACGUGGGCCCUCAUCUCAGAUCUGCCCCCAGUAUGUUUAGGACGCGAGCCCCAGAAGGAUCUGGGAGUAAACUUAACAUUCACUGUGUCUCUGCUCUGCAUCCGCCAUUUGUGUGUGUUUCUGGACUGUGGGCUGUGUGUACCUUGGUUGGUGACUCAGUGAGAAGAAGCAGGAAUGCCAAAGAUACUGUGAAUGUUCUGAGUUUUGUUGCUGUUGUUGUUGAGAGGUUGUUUCACUGGUAUCUAUUGCAUUGUAUAAUAAAUGACCAGAUGAAUGAAUGAGUGAAGCAAGAGAGAAUGAAUAAACAAGUAAAUAGGUAAAGAAGUAAGCAAGCCAGGAUGAGAGUGUGUGUACACAAGACCAUGGUUCAUCCGCUUUGAUGGCUAGGCAAUCAAUAUAUAAAUAGAAAAAAACCAGUGAAUCACUAAGUAAUAGGGCAACACACAAAGCGAUAUCAGGUGAUUAUGGACUAAGGGGUAUGUGUAACUCAAAUAUAUGCCUCUGACAUUUGACAAUGAAAAAGAACCUAAAUGAAAGAAAGAAUGGAUGUAUGAGUAGUGAAGUGCAGAAUGAGACAUAGAUUUUGAGGCCCGUCAAAAUGAAAAGAUGCAAGUUAGGGAACAAGUGAUCAAAAGGGAGAAGGGAAAGGUUUUUUUUAAAAAACCAAAACAACAAAGAAAGGUUAAAAAAAAAAACAGACUAGAGGAUGAGUAAUGAGUAACUCUGUAAGGAGGACCAUGUCAGACUAUUGUAAGCUAAGCAUUAGGACUGAUACAAAUAAUAUAUGCUCCUGGCAUAGAAAAAUAAACCACAGAGAACGAGUUCAAAGAAUAGCAAAGAAAGAAAGAGGACCCAGUGGGCGAAAGAUGAGAGUGUACUUUUACCAAAAGUUAUCUAAGCCUGAGCACUUGAAGUCUGCACAUAAAUAAAUAAAUGACAAAA
Molecule: long non-coding RNA, 4471 nt
Organism: Homo sapiens (human)
Lineage: Eukaryota; Metazoa; Chordata; Mammalia; Primates; Hominidae
Gene: MEG3
Product: maternally expressed 3
Source: Ensembl